UGGAAACAAAAUGAAUGGUUUCAGAUGAAGAUUGUCAUGUUCUAAGGAAGUAAAUGCCAUUUGAAUUUGACAAGACAGUUGAAAGAAAAUACUUUAGGAAGGUUCUACACUGACUAUACUACAAAGCCCUCAAAUUUUAUCACAUUUUAAGGAAUCCAGACCAGCUACUUUCAGCUCUUCAUUCACAUCUGUCUUGUGAGUAAUUUGAGAGAGCAGUCCACAUCGGGCCAGUGCAUGAUCAGAAUGUGUGAAGUACCUACCUUGCUCUGGAUCUCUGGAGAAUCAGCCGACAAAGGGCAGAUACUGAAACCAUAGGAAAACACUGAAGACUUAAAAGCUACAGCAUUUGGGGGGUUACUUAAAUGUCAAGGAUAUGAGCGCCAUGACUGAAUUCUGAAGACUUUUCCAGAAAAGGGAGAAACACUAGACAAAAUAGGGGAUCCCUGUGUUUCACCAGAGGACUCUGCUAUGUCCGGAUCCUACCAGCACCAAGUAUAGACCAUCAACAUAUUCUGAGCCUCAGCAGUUGACCAGGAAACAAAAGCCAGAAUAAAUAUCUUCCCUGCAUAAAAUAUCCUCCCUCAAGUAUGUUGCUAUAGUAAAAGAAAUGAAUUAAUCUGUCAUUCAAGGUAUCUGGCCCAUUAUUAUAUUGGUUGUAUUGGUCAGGGAGAUUUAUAUACGCGCGCACGUGCACACACACACACACACACACACAUACACACACACACACACACACAGGAUUUGUUAGAAUGGUUUGCUUCCAGGUUAUUGUCAAACUAUUCCAACAAUGAGCCUACCAAUGAAAAGUUCAAAAAUCCAAUAGUUACACAGUCCAUGAGGAUUGAUGUAUCGACUGGUCUUUAGUAUAUUCCAGAAUCCCAAAAAAGUAGACUUGAAUACCAAUAAGGAAAUUAACUUAACAGUGAGAGUAAGGACAAGCAGGCAAAAAAAGAAAAACAAAACAAAACAAAAACAAAAAAAAAACAAAACAAAAAAAAAAAAAAAACUCCCUUCUACCAUGUCCUUUGUGUAGGCUGACACCAGAAGGUGUGGCCCAGAUUAAAGAUCGAUUUUUUUUUCAACUCAAAAGAUCCAGCUAUAGGGUCUCUUCCUACCUCAAAUGAUUCCAUCAAGAAAAAAAAUCCCUCAAAGUUGUACCCAACAGCUUGGGUUUUAGUUAAUUCUAGAUGUCAAGUUUUUUUUCUAGAUUUCUAGAUGUCAACCACCAAGAACAGCCAUCCCAUAGGUUAUUAACCUUUGUUAAAAGCAGGAAGCUGAGAAGCAAUACAUUGCUUCACUAUUUAGAGAGGUUCUCCUAACAGCUCUUGGAAAUGUUAAAAAGUGUUAGAAAGGGGCCUAAUUAGAUUAUGAACUGCAAUGUUUUUAAGUCUGAGCAAAUUCAAGUAAAUAUCAAAUGCAGCAAUGCUAGGAACCUUCACCAAUGUGAAGCGCAGGCCGGCUACACUCCUGCUGCCUGUAAAACUUACACCAUUAAUGUACACAAUCUGAUUAGGUCAAAGUCACUAACUGUGGAGCAAAUUGAAGUACUCUAAAAUGGUCACAUUUAGAAUUUAACUUUGAAAAGUGCAUUUAAAUUAUUGUAUUCCU
Rattus norvegicus (Norway rat) is the source of this 1608-nucleotide non-coding RNA. Lineage: Eukaryota; Metazoa; Chordata; Mammalia; Rodentia; Muridae. The record is from RefSeq and is a predicted model, not a curated record.